RNAcentral lists this ribosomal RNA (456 nucleotides) under uncultured bacterium. RNAcentral's name for it is "bacterial SSU rRNA". It matches the Rfam family "Bacterial small subunit ribosomal RNA", at positions 28 to 524 of the family's 1533-position model. The record is from RNAcentral.
AGCGAACGCUAGCGGCGGGCCUAACACAUGCAAGUCGAGCGCAUACCUUCGGGUAUGAGCGGCGGACGGGUGAGUAACGCGUAGGUCAUCUACCCUUUGGUGGGGGAUAACCCAGGGAAACUUGGGCUAAUACCGCACGAGGUCCACGGAUCAAAGCCUUCGGGCGCCAGAGGAUGAGCCUGCGUCGCAUUACCUAGUUGGCGGGGUAACGGCCCACCAAGGGGACGAUGCGUAGCUGGUCUGAGAGGAUGAUCAGCCACACUGGGACUGAGACACGGCCCAGACUCCUACGGGAGGCAGCAGUGGGGAAUAUUGCGCAAUGGGGGAAACCCUGACGCAGCCACGCCGCGUGGGUGAUGAAGGCCUUCGGGUUGUAAGCCCUGUCGGGAGGGACGAAUCCUUGACGGUACCUCCAAAGAAAGCACCGGCUAACUCCGUGCCAGCAGCCGCGGUAAU